RNAcentral lists this ribosomal RNA (460 nucleotides) under uncultured bacterium. RNAcentral's name for it is "partial 16S ribosomal RNA". It matches the Rfam family "Bacterial small subunit ribosomal RNA", at positions 338 to 795 of the family's 1533-position model. The record is from RNAcentral.
CCUACGGGAGGCAGCAGUGAGGAAUAUUGGUCAAUGGACGCAAGUCUGAACCAGCCAUGCCGCGUGCAGGAAGAAGGCUCUAUGAGUUGUAAACUGCUUUUGUACGAGGGUAAACGCAGAUACGAGUAUCUGUAUGAAAGUAUCGUACGAGUAAGGAUCGGCUAACGCCGUGCCAGCCGACGCGGUAAUACGGAGGAUUCAAGCGUUAUCCGGAUUUAUUGGGUUUAACGGGUGCGUAGGCGGUCGGAUAAGUUAGAGGUGAAAUCCCGAGGCUCAACUUCGGAAUUGCCUCUGAUACUGUUCGGCUAGAGAGUAGUUGCGGUAGGCGGAAUGUAUGGUGUAGCGGUGAAAUGCUUAGAGAUCAUACAGAACACCGAUUGCGAAGGCAGCGUACCAAGCUACUUCUGACGUUGAGGCACGAAAGCGUGGGGAGCAAACAGGAUUAGAUACCCCUGUAGUC